GUGGCCCCAAGUCAGGCGAGGCCCACCCGCYGA
RNAcentral lists this ribosomal RNA (33 nucleotides) under Renealmia foliifera. Its description in RNAcentral is "partial 26S ribosomal RNA". Lineage: Eukaryota; Viridiplantae; Streptophyta; Magnoliopsida; Zingiberales; Zingiberaceae. The record is from RNAcentral.